Molecule: ribosomal RNA, 460 nt
Filed under: uncultured bacterium
Lineage: Bacteria
Description: partial 16S ribosomal RNA
Rfam family: Bacterial small subunit ribosomal RNA
Source: RNAcentral
CCUACGGGAGGCAGCAGUGAGGAAUAUUGGUCAAUGGACGCAAGUCUGAACCAGCCAUGCCGCGUGCAGGAUGACGGCCCUAUGAGUUGUAAACCGCUUUUGCACGAGGGUAAACCCCGAUACGUGUAGCGGGCUGCAAGUAUCGUACGAAUAAGGACCGGCUAACUCCGUGCCAGCAGCCGCGGUAAUACGGAGGAUCCGAGCGUUAUCCGGAUUUAUUGGGUUUAAAGGGUGCGUAGGCGGUGUGAUAAGUUAGCGGUGAAAUGUCGGGGCUCAACCCCGAAACUGCCUCUAAUACUGUUGGACUAGAGAAUAGUUGCGGUAGGCGGAAUGUAUGGUGUAGCGGUGAAAUGCUUAGAGAUCAUACGGAACACCGAUUGCGAAGGCAGCUUGCCAAACUAUAUCUGACGUUGAGGCACGAAAGCGUGGGUAGCAAACAGGAUUAGAUACCCUUGUAGUC